Molecule: ribosomal RNA, 498 nt
Filed under: Dialister invisus
Lineage: Bacteria; Bacillati; Bacillota; Negativicutes; Veillonellales; Veillonellaceae
Description: bacterial SSU rRNA
Rfam family: Bacterial small subunit ribosomal RNA
Source: RNAcentral
GACGAACGCUGGCGGCGUGCUUAACACAUGCAAGUCGAACGAAAAGAGGGAAAGAGCUUGCUCUUUCCGGAAUUGAGUGGCAAACGGGUGAGUAACACGUAAACAACCUGCCUUCAGGAUGGGGACAACAGACGGAAACGACUGCUAAUACCGAAUAAGUUCCAAGAGCCGCAUGGCCCAUGGAAGAAAAGGUGGCCUCUACCUGUAAGCUAUCGCCUGAAGAGGGGUUUGCGUCUGAUUAGCUGGUUGGAGGGGUAACGGCCCACCAAGGCGACGAUCAGUAGCCGGUCUGAGAGGAUGAACGGCCACACUGGAACUGAGACACGGUCCAGACUCCUACGGGAGGCAGCAGCGGGGAAUCUUCCGCAAUGGGCGAAAGCCUGACGGAGCAACGCCGCGUGAGUGAUGACGGCCUUCGGGUUGUAAAACUCUGUGAUCCGGGACGAAAAGGCAGAGUGCGAAGAACAAACUGCAUUGACGGUACCGGAAAAGCAAGCC